GAAAAAAAAGGCAUAAAAGAAAUGAAGACUACAGGGAAUGGUUGCCAGAAUUUAACAUUCUUAUUUGGAAUCACAGUAUCACACAUUGGGGAACACACAUUGAGGAUAAUAUGAGAGUAUGGAUAAAGAUGGUCAGGUCAUGUCCAACAUAGAGAAUUAAAUACUCUAGUAUGAAAAUGUAAUAAACUAGUGAUGGAAGGAGUGAUGAGGAAAAGGGGGAGACCUAAAAUGACGUGGAGUGAA
Molecule: unclassified non-coding RNA, 243 nt
Filed under: Hevea brasiliensis (rubber tree)
Lineage: Eukaryota; Viridiplantae; Streptophyta; Magnoliopsida; Malpighiales; Euphorbiaceae
Source: RNAcentral